Molecule: ribosomal RNA, 372 nt
Filed under: uncultured organism
Description: bacterial SSU rRNA
Rfam family: Bacterial small subunit ribosomal RNA
Source: RNAcentral
CGUAGGUGGCGAGCGUUGUCCGGAUUUACUGGGCGUAAAGAGCGCGCAGGCGGUCGUACAAGUCGCGUGUGAAAGCCCCUGGCUCAACUGGGGAGGGUCACGCGAUACUGUUCGACUCGAAGGCAGGAGAGGGAAGUGGAAUUCCCGGUGUAGUGGUGAAAUGCGUAGAUAUCGGGAGGAACACCAGUGGCGAAGGCGACUUCCUGGCCUGUUCUUGACGCUGAGGCGCGAAAGCUAGGGUAGCAAACGGGAUUAGAUACCCCGGUAGUCCUAGCCGUAAACGAUGGACACUAGGUGUUGGUGGUAUCAACCCCGCCAGUGCCGAAGCUAACGCAUUAAGUGUCCCGCCUGGGGAGUACGGCCGCAAGGCUA